This 429-nucleotide ribosomal RNA is filed under the name uncultured bacterium. RNAcentral describes it as "bacterial SSU rRNA". It matches the Rfam family "Bacterial small subunit ribosomal RNA", at positions 917 to 1441 of the family's 1533-position model. The record is from RNAcentral.
GGGCCCGCACAAGCGGUGGAGCAUGUGGUUUAAUUCGAUGCAACGCGAAGAACCUUACCAUCCCUUGACAUCCAGUGAACUUUCUAGAGAUAGAUUGGUGCCUUCGGGAACACUGAGACAGGUGCUGCAUGGCUGUCGUCAGCUCGUGUUGUGAGAUGUUGGGUUAAGUCCCGCAACGAGCGCAACCCUUAUCCUUAGUUGCCAGCGAUUCGGUCGGGAACUCUGGGGAGACUGCCGGUGAUAAACCGGAGGAAGGUGGGGACGACGUCAAGUCAUCAUGGCCCUUACGGGAUGGGCUACACACGUGCUACAAUGGCGCGUACAAAGGGCAGCGAAUCAGAAUGUCGCGGUGAAUACGUUCCCGGGCCUUGUACACACCGCCCGUCACACCAUGGGAGUGGGUUGCUCCAGAAGUGGUUAGUCUAACCU